GAUGAACGCUGGCGACGUGCCUAAUACAUGCCAGUCGAGCGAACAGACGAGGAGCUUGCUCCUCUGACGUUAGCGGCGGACGGGUGAGUAACACGUGGAUAACCUACCUAUAAGACUGGGAUAACUUCGGGAAACCGGAGCUGAUACCGGAUAAUAUAUUGAACCGCAUGGUUCAAUAGUGAAAGACGGUUUUGCUGUCACUUAUAGAUGGAUCCGCGCCGCAUUAGCUAGUUGGUAAGGUAACGGCUUACCAAGGCGACGAUGCGUAGCCGACCUGAGAGGGUGAUCGGCCACACUGGAACUGAGACACGGUCCAGACUCCUACGGGAGGCAGCAGUAGGGAAUCUUCCGCAAUGGGCGAAAGCCUGACGGAGCAACGCCGCGUGAGUGAUGAAGGUCUUCGGAUCGUAAAACUCUGUUAUUAGGGAAGAACAAAUGUGUAAGUAACUAUGCACGUCUUGACGGUACCUAAUCAGAAAGCCACGGCUAACUACGUG
RNAcentral lists this ribosomal RNA (497 nucleotides) under uncultured bacterium. RNAcentral's name for it is "partial 16S ribosomal RNA". It matches the Rfam family "Bacterial small subunit ribosomal RNA", at positions 28 to 507 of the family's 1533-position model. The record is from RNAcentral.